AUGCCACUUUCCCAAUCUCGUCUCCGUCCAAGCAUGCACUCGCUGCUGCCCGUUAAUGCUUGGUCAACGACCGACCAAACAACUCUUCCCUCUCCACCACGAGAAGUUCGUCACCUCACGCGUGAGCAGUCCAUCUAUCUCCUCCCGUGCAAGCACUCCAUCACCUCACACAGUGUCCAUUCGACAAAGUUUGUCCUUUUGAAGAAGCAAAAAAUGGAGUUUGAAGCGGUGGUGGUGUGGUUGCAGAAGAAGAAGCGAUGGUGCGAACUCGUCCAUCCGGCGCUAGUAUACCAGUAUGACUUGGAGGCGAAGAUUUUGUUGUGUCUCUUACCAUGA
This 336-nucleotide ribosomal RNA is filed under the name Triticum aestivum (bread wheat). Its description in RNAcentral is "partial small subunit ribosomal RNA". The record is from RNAcentral. Lineage: Eukaryota; Viridiplantae; Streptophyta; Magnoliopsida; Poales; Poaceae.